Molecule: unclassified non-coding RNA, 182 nt
Filed under: rhizosphere metagenome
Description: partial ribosomal RNA internal transcribed spacer region
Source: RNAcentral
GUAGGUGAACCUGCGGAAGGAUCAUUAUUGAAGGGGACCUCCGGGUCCAACCUUAAACCCUUUGACUUAUUACCCGUUUCUUUGGCGGCUUUGCCGUCAGAAGUUUUCUCAAACCCAUUAUAAACAUGUCUGAACAACAAAUAAAUAAAAUAAAACUUUCAACAACGGAUCUCUUGGUUCCG